Brassica napus (rape) is the source of this 1308-nucleotide RNA transcript. RefSeq lists it as uncharacterized. The transcript has 6 exons. Lineage: Eukaryota; Viridiplantae; Streptophyta; Magnoliopsida; Brassicales; Brassicaceae. The record is from RefSeq and is a predicted model, not a curated record.
AUUAUUUUCCUCAUUAUCUCUCUCUCUUCUCUCUCUCUCUCUCUCUCUCUCUCUCUCACAGAUUCAAACAUUAAUCUCUCUUGUUCAUCCUGUUCUUCAUUUUCUUUCAGAAAGAACGCAUAAUUUACUGCUACUAUUACUCCUUUUCAGAGGCAAAAAUCCUUGAUUUUCGUAGUUAUCUCAGCAUCUCUUUUUUUUUUUGGAGAAAAUCUCAGUAGUUCCACCAUUUCCUCGCUGGAUUUUUCUCCUUUUUAGCAAGAACAAUUGUUUAUGUCGUUCUAAUUAAAAUAGCAACUUCUAUAGAUUUCAUUGCGUAGCUGCAAGUCUAAUUUAAGUUUUUCUCCUUGAGAUCUCUCCUUUUUUUUUGAGAAAAUCUCAGUCCAUCUCCUUUAUUCAUAUUUUAAAACCAAACCUCUAAUUUAAGUUUUUUGUGUAUUCAAUUUUAUAGUAGUUCAGAGAGAUUUCUACAAACAUCGAAAGUGAGGAGAAAAGAAGAUAUGGGAUCAAUGGAGAAUGUUCACUCCUCUGCUAGCGAUUCUUUAAUAUGGGGGUUUCAGCAUAAUAAGUAUCGUCAUGACCAAACUAAUCUUCCACGUUUAUAUGGUGGAGAUUAUUGACCAAGAGGAAGCUAGAAUUUUGAUUCAAUGGCAUGUAUUGUAUAAGGCAUAUGUGGAAGAGGAGGCCAAAUUAAAAGUUGGUGCAGCUGCGAACCAACAAGAAAAACAAACAAAGGUUCCUUAUUAGGUUCCUUACUUUAGUCCUAGAGACUAAGAAAAUGGCGCCCGCCGCGAGCAGUUUGUCUACUAAGGAGAGGAGAGAGCAAGAAGCUGCAGCUAGAGGUACGACAUCGUCUAAUUCCGGGUCAUCGAAAAAAUCUCAGCUUGGUUCUAUGGGGAAAAUUGGGCAAAUCUUUACGCCGUAUAUAGUUAAUAUAGCUCCUGGUGAGGUUAUGAUCCUAACCAAGACCGAUUACUUUCAUGAUCUGGCUCAGCCGAAUAUUUUUUCCUUCCCCUUCUUCAAACUCCGAUUAUUUGCAAGAAGGUUUAAAUUGAAGGAAUUUUCCGAUGCUGAAUCUUGCCAAAUAGAUUUAGUGUUAGAAUGAGAGAAUUAUUGAGAGUUUAUUUCUGGGGAAUGAAGAACAUGAAGAACAUGAGAGAAAGAGAAAGUAUGAGAGAGAUGUAGAUUUCAAAAUGUAAGAGAGAGAAGGAGAGAAUAGUUUCCUUAAUUUAAUUGUAGAUCUGGAUACAAGUAUUUAAAGGCAAGUUGCCUCAGUACACAAUACAAUAAAAUAUUCAUUGUUUUAAAAUA